CCUACGGGAGGCAGCAGUGGGGAAUAUUGCACAAUGGGGGAAACCCUGAUGCAGCGACGCCGCGUGAGUGAAGAAGUAAUUCGUUAUGUAAAGCUCUAUCAGCAGGGAAGAAAAUGACGGUACCUGAGUAAGAAGCCCCGGCUAACUACGUGCCAGCAGCCGCGGUCAUACGUAGGGGGCAAGAGUUAUCCGGAUUUACUGGGUGUAAAGGGAGCGUAGACGGCAGUGCAAGUCUGGAGUGAAAGGCGGGGGCUCAACCCCCGGACUGCUCUGGAAACUGUACUGCUGGAGUGCAGAAGAGGUAAGUGGAAUUCCUAGUGUAGCGGUGAAAUGCGUAGAUAUUAGGAGGAACACCAGUGGCGAAGGCGGCUUACUGGACUGUAACUGACGUUGAGGCUCGAAAGCGUGGGGAGCAAACAGGAUUAGAUACCCUUGUAGUC
Molecule: ribosomal RNA, 440 nt
Filed under: uncultured bacterium
Lineage: Bacteria
Description: partial 16S ribosomal RNA
Rfam family: Bacterial small subunit ribosomal RNA
Source: RNAcentral